This 207-nucleotide ribosomal RNA is filed under the name uncultured bacterium. Its description in RNAcentral is "partial 16S ribosomal RNA". It matches the Rfam family "Bacterial small subunit ribosomal RNA", at positions 568 to 774 of the family's 1533-position model. The record is from RNAcentral.
AGCGCAGGCGGUUUCUUAAGUCUGAUGUGAAAGCCUUCGGCUCAACCGAAGAAGUGCAUCGGAGACUGGGAAACUUGAGUGCAGAAGAGGACAGUGGAACUCCAUGUGUAGCGGUGAAAUGCGUAGAUAUAUGGAAGAACACCAGUGGCGAAGGCGGCUGUCUGGUCUGUAACUGACGCUGAGGCUCGAAAGCAUGGGUAGCAAACA